Molecule: long non-coding RNA, 247 nt
Organism: Mus caroli (Ryukyu mouse)
Lineage: Eukaryota; Metazoa; Chordata; Mammalia; Rodentia; Muridae
Source: RefSeq, a predicted model, not a curated record
CUUAGGUUGCUGGGAAGAAUUUGCCAUAGCUCUCCAAGAAGGGAGUAGAGUUCGGCUGGAAUGUGCAUUUCCCAUCUUGAAGGAGAUGUUUCUUGUUAACAGAUCCUGACCCAUAUGCCAGUAUACCAGGCUCCUCAGAGAUUGCAACGGAGUCUCUUGUCCAUAUUUCCUGUUGGUACCUCAACUCUGUUUCCAAGCAAGGCAAGCUACUAAGAUACGUACUACAGUUCCACAAUCACGGGAAGGA